Molecule: long non-coding RNA, 379 nt
Organism: Scleropages formosus (Asian bonytongue)
Lineage: Eukaryota; Metazoa; Chordata; Actinopteri; Osteoglossiformes; Osteoglossidae
Exons: 3
Source: RefSeq, a predicted model, not a curated record
UGCAUGCCUUGUGUGGUGCUUCAUGUCACCAAAGCUCAUACUUUGAAUUGAAAUUUCUGGGUUGUUAAUGUAUUCAACAUGUAUCAGAUGAUAACUCGAUGUGAAUUUUGGGGUACAAAUUAUGCUUGUCCAUAUUUGUCAGUUCUCGUAACAUGUGCACUUGUUAUGUAAGAGACCAUUAUACUAUCUGACCAAAAUUCCUUCCUUUUUUCUCAUGAAAGCAGAAAGUGGCAAGCCAAUCCUGGGAAUGACCUGCAUGUUUGAGUAAAGUCUCAGGCAAUAAAUCUGAUAAGAAGUCCGCUACGAAGCAACCUCAGAGCCCCAAAGAGCAGCCAAAGAAAGGUGAUCAGAAAGGAGAUGAUAGCAAAAAGCAAGGAGG